Molecule: ribosomal RNA, 254 nt
Filed under: uncultured bacterium
Lineage: Bacteria
Description: partial 16S ribosomal RNA
Rfam family: Bacterial small subunit ribosomal RNA
Source: RNAcentral
CACGUAGGGGGCAAGCGUUGUCCGGAUUUAUUGGGCGUAAAGAGCUCGUAGGCGGCUCAGUAAGUCGGGUGUGAAACCUCCAGGCUCAACCUGGAGCCGCCACCCGAUACUGCUGUGGCUUGAGUCCGGUAGGGGAGCGUGGAAUUCCUGGUGUAGCGGUGAAAUGCGCAGAUAUCAGGAGGAACACCAGCGGCGAAGGCGGCGCUCUGGGCCGGAACUGACGCUGAGGAGCGAAAGCGUGGGUAGCAAACAGG